This is a long non-coding RNA of Hirundo rustica (Barn swallow), 1594 nucleotides long. RefSeq lists it as uncharacterized. The record is from RefSeq and is a predicted model, not a curated record. The transcript has 4 exons. Lineage: Eukaryota; Metazoa; Chordata; Aves; Passeriformes; Hirundinidae.
CUGUCCUGACUGGGGAGGACAAAAAGUUGUUCUGCAGUGUUUUCUUCCAAAAGAAAAGAAAUCCAUUCAAAACAACCUUCAAGCUGUGGUCAGGCUUUUUGUUUGGUUUGUCCCAAACAGCCUCUUGCAGAUGAUUAUAAGCUACAUUUGUCUCUGCUCCUUGUUUCACAUUGAACAAGAUGCUGUGGCUGCUCCUCUGACCUCUACAUGGUCAUAAUGGUCACAGCACAGUAACAGAAUUCCUCACUGCUACAGGGAUGCUGUGUGGAUGGUAGAUUAGGUGAUGCCCUCGGAGAAGAGCUUCAUGACCCUGGAGUACUAACCAGCCCUGAAAAACUUCAAGAUUGCAGGAAAGGGCUCAAGUCCUGACACAGAGAAAAAACAUGGGUCUCACAGGCUGUGGUUCAGCUACAAGAACACCUCAGCACCUCAUUUACCUGCUGUUCUUACUCAAGCUGGACUUCCUGAAGCCAUGAUAAGCAAUUAUCUCUGUUGUCCUGGAACUGUACAGCUCAGAGCAAGACCACCAACACUCAAAUGUUCCUGCCUCAUCACAAUCCUUUCAGCAAGAAGCCAGGUUUGAAGAGGAUGAGAAAGCUCUUUUACUACGAAACAUUUAUCUCUCUCUGAGGGGGCUGUACUCUCCAACAAAGCUAUUUCAUCUCAGAAGCCAGGUUAAAAGAAUCUUUUCUUUUUGGGAACUAGCAGUCACCAAACUAGAAGCAGUGCCUGAAGAGUUAGUAGUAGCAGGGAAAGAGAUGCUACUAGGGCAGAAACUUAGGAAGAUUCCAUAAUGUCUAAUGUAUUGAGAGACAAAACAAUGAAGCUAGUCAAGGGUGAUAAAGUUAUUUGACUGCUUAUGAAAUACUUCAAAUCUCCUAUAAGUACACCUAGGAUUGCAUUGCCUGAUAAAGCAGUUUUAUUCAGGGUCAAAUGCAACCUGGGAGCUUGCAGAGUAGCUUCCUGUUUGAAUACACACGAUGAGACAUUAGACUCAUUUGUUUGGUUAUGGAACAGCCAAAAGCAUGCUGAGGUGCUUGAGUUCAGGCAUUGAUCAUUGUUUGUGUGCUUUUGGUUUUGGUUUGAUUUUACAGAACUGCUAUAAACAGCUUCUGAAUAACACCUGAACUUCAGCCCUGUUUCUGAGGUAGGAUGAGUCCAAAGUUUCACAUACUCUUUCAGUUCACUAACAGUGCUGUUCACAUGUGACUGAACUUGUAUCUGGGCAAGAUCUUAGAUUAAGGGGAGCAAUGUGUGGUAAGCCUCUUCCUCCUGGGUUGCAGUAAAUUUCAGCUUAUGAUUCUAACCAGACCACUGUGGAUGCAGUAAUUUGACCAGUGCUGUUCAGCCUGUGCUAACGGGCUUGGUAAGGACAGCCUGAAACACCCUGCUCCAGACUGGACAGGAACCCUGCACAGAGUUUGGAGGAAAGGCUCCAUUCAUAGAGAGCAGGAGCAUCACUAGAGCUUUUCCUUUUAAGGAACAAUGGUUUCACUUCACAAAUUUGUAGCUGAUCUAGCAAACAAUACGUGAAAAAGACUCAGGUGUGAGCCACACAUGAGCUGCUGUAAGACUUGAAGCUGACAAACAGGGA